RNAcentral lists this long non-coding RNA (2313 nucleotides) under Trifolium pratense (red clover). RNAcentral describes it as "long non-coding RNA (TPRA_LNC000603)". The record is from RNAcentral. Lineage: Eukaryota; Viridiplantae; Streptophyta; Magnoliopsida; Fabales; Fabaceae.
UACUAAUUUUAACAUCAUAAAAACGUAAUUUUGUUUAUUAAAAACAAAUAAUAACAAUAAUGGUACAACAAGUUUCUAAACUCAAAAAUAAAACAAAUAACAAUAAUAAAUUCUUAGUAAUACUACAAAUUAAAACUAACAAUACUAAAAACACUGAAAUAUAUAUAUAUAUAUAUAUAUAUAUAUAUAUAACUAGGCAUAAGCCCUACACUCCUCUUUCCCAAGCGAAGUUGCCUUGCCACAACCAUUUUGAAUAUAAUCUGCAUACAAAUAUAAGCACACCACAAAACCCAAAUAUGAUGUUAGUAGUUAGUACAUCUAAAAUCAUGUAAAAAGAAUACUGCAGUAUAUGGCAUAAGUAGAUGAACAAACACACAUGAAUCAAUAGGUAAAACAUCACAACAAUCAUGACAACAUAUAGUACAUGCAUGGAUUAUAUUAGGAAUAACAAUUUAAUGCUCAAUAUGCAAUGAAAAAUCAUGUGGUGUGUGAAUCUAAUAACUCAAAAAAAUAUGGAAUAAGAGAUUAAUCUCAUUUAAAUGAUACUAUUAGGUGACCUAUAUUCGAGGAAGUUUGUACAAAGAAAUUCUCAAGAUUACACACCCUAAGUGACAUAUUUGAUCAAUCAAUAUCCUAUCUUGAGAGCUAAAUUCAAAUAUAAGUUUCUUAGACGAUAUAUCAAGCAUGCAUGGCUUUAAAUUGCAACCAGCAGUUGUAGUAUAGUUGAUGCGAUAGUCACCAGAAUCGCAUCGCACUGCAUUGCAGUGUGAUUUUCGACUACGUGUAUGACUGCAUCGUAACUCCAUCAAGAACCGCAUCAGAUAAGUUAGACCAUAUUCAUUCAAACCUUCUCACCAAAAACUAAUUUUUAUGAACCCCAAAUCUCAAUUUACGUUAGAAUAUAUAUGCAAUGAAUAAUCUUAUCCUUAGUACGUAGUCUCUUAAUGUAUUUCAAAUUCAAGCAUCUAUCAAUAAAGGGGCGUCUUCGUGGUGGAGUGAUGUUUCUUUAUUUGGGAUCCAGGUAAAAUCUCAGUCGGAUUGGUUCUCUGAAGGGGUGUUUACGCAGAUUGGUAAUGGGAUUUUGACAUCUUUUUUGUUUGAUCUGAGUCAAAAGUGUACCGAUUAGGAUUUGAUACAAAUCUCUCUUUCAAGCUUCCGAUCGGUGGCAUGUUGUUGUGUGGUCUAUCUGGACCUCCCAUAAUGAUAUUUUCUAUGCCAGUGGGUCUUCAAUAAUUGAUCGAUAUUCUUGUGUAUAGGGUGAAACUUUCCUCCUUGAAAUCGUUUCUAGGUAAAAAAAAAAAACAUGGCCCCCGCUCUUUCUAUGAGUGGGAGGUGCAACCUCUCUUGUGCUGGUCCAAUAAAGCGAUGUGAGGAUGCGGUGCCUAGAUGCUUCUAAUCUUGAGGUGCAAAGUCUUUGUUAUUAGCUUUUCCCCUUCCCUUUUUUGGUGGCUGCUUUGAGCGGUUUUGGUGGUUUGUUGCUUUCCAGAUUUUUUUUUGUGUUUCUUUUGUAAAUCUUUUUUAGUUUUUGAGUAUUUUUGGUACUCCUGCUCUGUAUUUUCACCGUCUUAAUUAUCCGUUAUAUAUAAUUAUUUAUUUUCCAUUAAAAAAAACAUCUUUCAAAAAAUAUGCAUGAAACAAAUUGAGACUCCACUAGUGGUGACACUACAUAGUGUGUAAAAAUUUAAAAUUAUUUUACUGCAACAGUCGCAACAUCCGCCGCAGCAGCCACAAUGAUCGCAAUCACAAUGAUCGCAAUUGCAAUGACUACCGCAAUCACACUUUAAAACGCUGAUAUCAAGGAUCUACAUCAUCUUUAUAUUUAAACAACUAUAUAUCAUUCACAAUAAAAUGAAGCUGGUAGCAACACUUUCUUCUAAAGCUAAAAGUAAAGUUUAAGGAUGGAAAAGAUAUGAGAAAAGAAAUUAUGAUGAGCAAAGAAAACUAAUUGGUUAAAAACAAUAGAGAUUAGUUUAUAUCUUAACUGUUAAGCGCAGUAACAAUUUUUUAGAGUGCAGUAAAGAGUUUUAUUAUGAUCAGGGCACGGUAUACGUUGAAAAUUGUGAGCUUUUUUCUUUCCUGUAAUGUAAAUAAGAAUAAAGAAAUAUUUCUAAAAACAGGUGAAAGUUUGUGUAUAUGAUAAAAAAAAAAACAAAAAUUGAAGUAUGAUCUUACCAUAAACAUUGACUACAACAAGAAAUAGAAAUAGAGAAAUAAAAAGGUGGAUGUACUUAUAAAUAAACUUGAGAGUUUCAGCCAUAUUAUUCACUUUUACAUGUAUUAAAUUGAAAUUAUUUUGAUCAAUUUAUAGUAAAA